This 374-nucleotide ribosomal RNA is filed under the name uncultured organism. RNAcentral's name for it is "partial 16S ribosomal RNA". It matches the Rfam family "Bacterial small subunit ribosomal RNA", at positions 527 to 896 of the family's 1533-position model. The record is from RNAcentral.
GUAGGUGGCAAGCGUUGUCCGGAAUUAUUGGGCGUAAAGCGCGCGCAGGCGGUCCUUUAAGUCUGAUGUGAAAGCCCACGGCUCAACCGUGGAGGGUCAUUGGAAACUGGGGGACUUGAGUACAGAAGAGGAAAGCGGAAUUCCAAGUGUAGCGGUGAAAUGCGUAGAGAUUUGGAGGAACACCAGUGGCGAAGGCGGCUUUCUGGUCUGUAACUGACGCUGAGGCGCGAAAGCGUGGGGAGCAAACAGGGAUUAGAUACCCUGGUAGUCCACGCCGUAAACGAUGAGUGCUAAGUGUUAGGGGGUUUCCCGCCCCCUUAGUGCUGCAGCUAACGCACUAAGCACUCCGCCUGGGGAGUACGGCCGCAAGGCUG